This 525-nucleotide ribosomal RNA is filed under the name uncultured bacterium. RNAcentral's name for it is "bacterial LSU rRNA". It matches the Rfam family "Bacterial large subunit ribosomal RNA", at positions 1035 to 1558 of the family's 2925-position model. The record is from RNAcentral.
CAAAAUAAGGUCCCUAAAUAUAUACUAAGUGUAAAGCAAGAAUGUGAGAUUUCUUAGACAAUGAGGAGGUUGGCUUAGAAGCAGCCAUCCUUUAAAGAUAGCGUAACAGCUCACUCAUCUAGAGAUUUUGCGUCGAAAAUAAUUGGGGCUAAGUAUAUUACCGAAUUUUGAGGAUUCGUAGAAAAUUUAUUUUUUAUGAGUGGUAGGAGAGUGUUCCAAUCUGCAGUGAAGGAGGACCCGUGAGGGCUUCUGGAGCGUUUGGAAGUAAAAAUGUUGGCACAAGUAACCGCAAUGGGGUUGAGAACACCCCACGUCGAAAGAUCAAGGUUCCUUGGUAAUGAUAAUCAUCCAAGGGUUAGUCGGUCCUAAGGGGAUGGCGAAAGCCGUACUCGAUGGACAUAGGGUUAAUAUUCCUAACUUCUGUAUUUUGUGAUGGAAGGACGGAGUGUAGUAUAUAUGCAGAUUAUUGGAUUUCUGUUUGUGUCUUAAUUGUCCUCUAUAGGAAAAUCCGUAGAGUGCCUUAAA